GGGAGUACUGCUCAGGUGGUGGAUGGGCACCAGACUGUAAAUCUGGCACAUAGAAACACAAUAGGUUCGAGUCCUUUUACUCCCA
RNAcentral lists this transfer RNA (85 nucleotides) under Crassvirales sp. RNAcentral's name for it is "tRNA-Tyr". It matches the Rfam family "tRNA". Rfam says of the family: Transfer RNA (tRNA) molecules are approximately 80 nucleotides in length. Their secondary structure includes four short double-helical elements and three loops (D, anti-codon, and T loops). The record is from RNAcentral. Lineage: Duplodnaviria; Heunggongvirae; Uroviricota; Caudoviricetes; Crassvirales.